This is a long non-coding RNA of Macadamia integrifolia, 3119 nucleotides long. RefSeq lists it as uncharacterized. The record is from RefSeq and is a predicted model, not a curated record. The transcript has 2 exons. NCBI's taxonomy places the organism in Eukaryota, Viridiplantae, Streptophyta, Magnoliopsida, Proteales, Proteaceae.
GAGUUUCUAAUUUUUAGUUUCCUAUUUCAGUUUUUGGAAACUAAAGUUAGUUUCUAUUUUAUGUAACCCCUAUCACUGUUAUAAAUAAAGAUGAUGGCUCUUUUAAUGAGCCACGAUUUUGACAAACUACAUGGCUAUUGCUGCUGCUUUCUCUGCAAGAGAACUUCUUUGUGUUUGAUCAAGGAAGAAGGGCUUGUUGUCUGAUCUAGGUGACUCCUUGCGGUGUGAAGUCCAGGAGGGUUCUUAGUGUGUUUCCUUCUCUUCUUUACAAUCUAUAUUCAAGCUAAUAUUGCUACUACAACCAGGUAUUUAUUUUUAACUGCUGUCCAGAAAUUCUGCAACUGGUUCCAAUCGGCCUCCUCUUAAAAGGGCAGUUCCAGCCCUCGAUUUGAGCCCAGAUUUUGAUCGAUUGUUUAUCCAUAUACUACUAAGGAUCGAUCUUAGUUUGGACUGUUUCUGAGGAGCCUAUAGAGAGAUAUUCAAAAUCUCCCUAUUUUUGUCUUCUAGCGGCUUUAGCUUCUAUUUUCUGGAUUCGACAUCUCUGCUAUUAUUACUGCUGAUUUCUGGACUCCUGAUCAUACUUGAGAAGAACUUGAAGUGGUUAAUACACUUAGUCAGUCCCUGGUUUAGUUCUAAGGGCUGCUGCUCUCUUUGUUUAUUCUUUGUGCUAAUAUUCCUUAAGAUCGAUAGUGCUACUAGACUGUUAUGUGAAGUCUGAUUUCUCAUAUAUCUGUGGAGCUGGUUUUGGUUGUUGUUUGGUCUACAAGUUCCUGUUGUUGGGUCUAGUUUGAUUUUUUAGAUCUAGUCUUACAUUAACAGAUUUGUAGGGCAAAAAAGAUGGUUGAUGAUGAAGGUAAGGUGAAGAUAGAAGAUGGUAUGAUUUUUGAUGAUGUUGAAUAUUUUAGGAAGGAACUGAAAGAAUUUGCAAUCCAAGAGGGUUUUCAGAUUCAAGGAAUAAAGAAUGAGAGGACCAGGGUCACUAUUAUUUGUGUAAAGGAAAGUUGUGUGUGGAGGAUUCAUGCUUCACCCACUGAAGACAAAGUGAAUUUUAUGGUUAAGUCAUAUAAUCCUAUGCAUACUUGUUCUCAGAGAAAAGAGAGAUGCAACCUUUAGAUGGAUAGUUAAGAAAUUUGGUCCACAACUCAAAGAAAAUUCUGAACUUUUUACUAAGAGUAUGAAAGUCAUAUUGUUCAGGGAGUAUCAGCUUGAACCAUGUUACAUGAAAAUUUAGAAGGUUCGGCUUCUUGCCAAAGAAACUAAUGAGGGCAACCAUGCCAAAUCAUACUAAACUACCAAAGUAUGCAAAGAUGGUUAGACAGACAAACCCAGGUUCAAUAUUUAAGCUAUAAUUCUAUGCAAGAAAUAACAUGGCUGACAAUCCAGUUUUUAAAGGGUGCUUUGUUUGUUAUGAAACUAGAUGGAUGCCAUUUAAAUGGAAAAUUUAGAGGGAUUCUACUCUCAACUAUUUCUAUGGAUGGAAACUGGGUUAUUUCCACUUGCAUUAGGUAUUGUGAAAUUUGAGUACAAAGGUAGCUGGAUGUUUUUUCCUGAACAACCUAUAUACUGCAUUUCAUUCUACUUCAGAUGGCAUAGGUUACCUAACUUUUAUGUCAGAUAAGCAAAUUGUGUGGUUGAUUACCUUUUUUGUUUAGAUUUUUUUUUUGUUAUAUUUUAUUUAUUUAUUUAUGCCCUUUACUAUGGCUAUGUCAAACACAUAUUGACUACAAUUUUUUCCUUCUUGUGUGAUGUGUAAGGUCUAACUAAUGCUACAAGAGAGGUUUUACCUAAGUCUCAUACUAGGCAUUGCAGCAGGCACUUUUAUGCCAACUUCAAGCUCACUUAUCGAAAAAAGAAACUGAAAUCAUAUUUUGGGCUGCAUCUAGGUCUUAUAGAGAAGUUGACUUUAGAGAGGUAAUGAAUGAGAUGAGGAGCAUCAACAAGGAAGCACAUGAUUGACUGAUGAAAAAUUCUCCUGGUACAUAAUCCAAACAUGCAUUUGAUCACCAAGCAAAGAACGAUCACAUAGCCAAUAAUAUAAUAGAGUUCUUUAACCAUUGGGUAGGACCGUAUAGAGACAAACUCAUCUUAUAUCUGAUUGAUCAACUGAGAAUUAGCUUGAUGGAUAAAUUGCAGAUGGGGUUUCAGUAAGGUUGUUCUUAUAAAAGGAAAUUAACACCUAAGAUUAAAAAGCAAUUAGAUUCAAUAAUCCAUCAACAUUCAAGAUCAUAUAUGGCCAUAUGUGUAUGUCAAAAUGAGUUUGAGGUGAAUGAUGGCACAUCAAGGUUCGUAGUGAACUUGAAUACUAAGUGGUGUCAGUGUCAAGUGUGGGAGACAAGUGGGAUGCCAUGUAAUCAUGUAGCCUAUUGUAUUGCAUACAAGAGGGAAAGGCUUCAAGACUAUUGUGACAGUUUUUAUUCUCUAAGGAAUCUGAAUACAUAUGAGAACAUGAUACAUCCAUUGCCUAAUUUUUCAUGGUUGGAAGAUACAAGUACUAUGAUUGUGGUAGAGCCUCCACCUUUGAGAAGACAACCAGGCAGACUCCACAAGAAUAGGAAAAGGGAGGAUAGUGUGCCAGCUAUGGGAGAGUUUAGAAAGAGGUCUUCAUCAGUAUGAUGUGAGAGAUGCAAGCUUGCUGGUCAUAACAGAAGAACAUACAAAGGUGGUAAAAGGAAAAGGAAAAGGGCAUAAUCAUCAAAUAAAUCAGCUAUUGUGAAGAAUCGGAAUGUAGUGGGCAGCUAGAUUGAUAUCAAUAUUUCUCAAAGAUAUAGAUCACAUAAUGCAUCAAUAGACAAAGUUGAUAAUGUUCAAGCAGAAGAGCAAAAAUGGCAACAACUCGAGCAAGAAGACAUGAAAAAGAGGCUAUGAAGUCGCAAAUCUAGGAUUAAAUUUGGAUCCAGAUAGGGAUUUGUUGUAAUGGAACAGUGCUUUUUGGCAUAGUUCUUGUUCUUGUAAUGUACUUGGGGGAAAAAUGUUAGCCCAGUUUGAUAUGUUUGAUGUAAUUAGAGAACAAUGUUAGUUGAUGGAUUUCAUACUAUCAUGGUAUUUGGACAUAGUUUUUGUUUUGGAUGUAAACGAAUUUUUAGUUGAUGGAUUUCAUACUUUCCUUUGUGUUUUGAUUC